Molecule: ribosomal RNA, 485 nt
Filed under: uncultured Alphaproteobacteria bacterium
Lineage: Bacteria; Pseudomonadati; Pseudomonadota; Alphaproteobacteria
Description: bacterial SSU rRNA
Rfam family: Bacterial small subunit ribosomal RNA
Source: RNAcentral
GCGGCAGGCCUAAUACAUGCAAGUCGAACGCACCUUCGGGUGAGUGGCGGACGGGUGAGUAACACGUGGGAACGUGCCUUUUGGUUCGGAAUAAUCCGGGGAAACCUGGCCUAAUACCGAAUGUGCCCUUCGGGGGAAAGAUUUAUCGCCAUUAGAGCGGCCCGCGUCUGAUUAGCUUGUUGGUGGGGUAAUGGCCCACCAAGGCUACGAUCAGUAGCUGGUCUGAGAGGAUGAUCAGCCACACUGGGACUGAGACACGGCCCAGACUCCUACGGGAGGCAGCAGUAGGGAAUCUUGCGCAAUGGGCGAAAGCCUGACGCAGCCAUGCCGCGUGAAUGAUGAAGGUCUUAGGAUUGUAAAAUUCUUUCAGCGGGGAAGAUAAUGACUGUACCCGCAGAAGAAGCUCCGGCUAACUUCGUGCCAGCAGCCGCGGUAAUACGAAGGGGGCUAGCGUUGCUCGGAAUUACUGGGCGUAAAGGGCGCGU